GGUAGCUUAUGCCAUUAUUCUUGAUUUUCUUCUCAUUUAUCCCAUGACAUGUUCAUCUCUAUAUCAUGUAAACCCAACUCAACAUUUUCACCUCCCAUUUGAGAAAACACAGGGGUUUUUUUCUUAAUCUAUGUUGAGAACGGUUACGCAUACCUCAGACCAAAUCACCCUUUUCCUUAGUUCAUAAAGACUUUCUAGAAGCUUGACAUUCAUGAUGACUUUGUGAUCUUACUGCAUGCAGCCAGAUUUAACAGCCCCAGGUGUACACAUUCUGGCUGCCUGGUCACCAAUUUCUCCAAUCUCUCAAAUGAGUGGUGAUAAUCGAGUAGCGCAAUACAAUAUAUUAAGCGGCACGUCAAUGGCUUGUCCACAUGCUACUGGGGCAGCUGCCUACAUCAAGUCAUUUCACCCCACCUGGUCUCCUGCUGCUAUUAAGUCUGCUCUUAUGACUACUGGUAAUGACUGAAUUUUAUUCCCGGCCUUUCAAAUUAUGAAAGAGGUGAUAGUAAUGGAUUUUAGUCCUUUGUGUGUUUUGUAAGCAGCUACUCCCAUGAGCGCUAGAAAAAAUCCGGAAGCCGAAUUUGCAUAUGGUGCAGGCAAUAUUGAUCCUGUAAGGGCUGUGCACCCUGGUUUAGUGUAUGAUGCCGAUGAGAUUGACUUUGUAAAUUUUUUGUGUGGAGAAGGCUAUAGUAUUCAGACUCUACGGAAAGUCACCGGGGAUCAUAGUGUCUGUUCGAAAGCUACGAAUGGAGCCGUUUGGGAUCUAAAUUACCCGUCCUUUGCUCUUUCCAUCCCCUACAAAGAAUCAAUCGCUCGCACGUUCAAAAGGAGUGUCACAAAUGUUGGAUUACCAGUAUCCACAUAUAAAGCAACUGUUAUUGGUGCCCCAAAGGGACUCAAAAUCAACGUUAAACCAAACAUUUUAUCAUUCACAUCCAUCGGGCAGAAACUAUCUUUUGUGUUGAAGGUUGAAGGACGUAUAGUUAAAGACAUGGUCUCUGCUUCGUUAGUGUGGGAUGACGGUUUACAUAAAGUGAGGUCCCCCAUUAUUGUGUAUGCAGUCCAAUAAAAUUCCAAAAGCCUGGUGUUUUGUACCAGAGGCAUCGGAAUUGUGGUAUCUAUCACGUUGAACUAAAUGAUGUGGUAUCUACAUAAGAUGGAAAUAAAUGAUAAUAUUUAGUAUUGGUUGUAUUACCUGUCCAUACGAGCUAUUAGAUCUAGCUCUAAUAGAUCUAAUACCCUUUACAUAUGAAGGUUCGGUCUCAAUACCCUUCUUUCUCCUCUCCCAGCCACUUUUCUCCUAGGCGGCCAGGCCCAUCCUUUCUUUUUGCUCUCCCUAGGCACUUUUCUCCGGGGCCCACCGCACCUUUAUGUGAUACUUUAAGGACGUAGCUUUAUCAUGGUUGAAAUUAUUGCCAAAACAUAUAUAUUUAAAUAGUAGUCAAAUAAAAAUUUCAUAAUUAAUCUAAUUUUAUUCAAAUAUACACUUAAAUAAUAGUCAAAUAAGAACUCCAUGGUUAUUUUCUUUUAAAAAAAAAUCUUUUAUGUAACAAGUUAUUGUUGAAAGUACAUGUAUCAAGUUUCAUGCCUUUUUUUGUUUCUCUUUAUUUUAUUAAUUCAUUAUUUUAAAAAUAUUUUUAUAUAUUUUAAAAUUUUUUCUACAAAUGUACUUACGUAGAAAAAUUGAAAUUAAUUAUAGUUAAAUAUAUUUGUACCAAUCUUCAAGAGGAGUGAAUUAAAUUAAUCUUUAAACAAAUCAACAUACCAUGAAAAUAACCAAAAAAUAUUUUAAAAGAACUUUUGGAAAUAAUUUUUUUUCUAAUUUGGAAAAAAAUUAUAAUUAAAUUUGAAUAAAAAUUAUUUCAUUAAAAAUGUUGUCAUGUGUGAUGUAUCGGACACUCAUGUACUAAGGGGUUUUGGCAUUUUUUUGGUUUCCUUGUCAUGAUUAUUUAUUAAUUUGUAAUUUAAAAAUUCUUUUUAUAAUUUUUUUUACUCUUAAAAGUUAAGAUAAAAGACUCAUACCUCAAUUUUGUUUAUGCACUCUGUAAACAAUACAUUUGUAUUGAUUUUAUGACAUAGGUAUAAAACAUUUUGUUGUGAAUAUGUUACAAAAUACAUAAAAAAGUGUAGUCCUAUAAAUUUAUUUUAAGAUGAUUUUACUUAAUUCUUCAAAAAUGGAAAGACCAUGGUAUUUUCUUUGUAUUCACAAUUAAAAAGAGUGCAUAGGACCCAUGUAAAAGGGAAUACAUUCUCUAUUUUAAAGGAAUGAGUUUCUUCUCCCACACCCAAGAGAAUUUGAUAAUGCGGAAUAAUUUUUACUUGUCAUCCAUGUACAAAACAUUUGUUUCGAUUUGUGAAAGACAUUUUGGGUAUAAGAAAACAAUGUACACCAAAUAAGGACCAUUGUUAUGUUUGCUCUAAUAUAAAAUUCCAAAAUCUUUGUGUUGGUGUGAUAUAAAAUUGCGAUAUCUAUAAAAUUGAAAAUAAAUGUUGUGAUAUAAGUAAGAUGGAAACAAAAGAGAAAAUUGUAAGCCUUUAAUAUUAAGGAAAUUUGGAAUUAAUUUUAAAAUAAAAUGUGUGUCAUUAAUUAUUUGACUAGUUUUUUGUAUAUGGCACGGAGGGGUUGUUUCUCAAUGUAAUACAUUAGUUAUUAAUAGGACAUGUGAAUAUUAGUUGUGGAUUAACACAGCUCCAGGUUGAUAGUGGUAUUAUAAAACUUUCAAAAAAUGACUCAUAAAUGUAGUUUUCCUCUAUUUUAUAUUUUUCUUAAUUUUUCUAAUAAAUAUAUAGACCACAUUACAAAUCAUGUAACAAUACAAUCUCCUACAUAGUUUAAUCAAUGUAAGUCAUAUGCUGAAAAAAAAAUCAAUACUCCUAGUAUAGGAAAUAAUGACUUAUUCAUAAAUAUGAAUCUUAUGCUAUAAUUAAAUCAAAAAUAGAAAUUAAAGAAUAAUAAAGAGACGAAAAAAACACAUGAAUAUAAGGUGAAAAAUCUUUAAGGAGACAAAGAACCAUGGACCAAUCUUAAUUAAUCACAAUAUCUACUAUAAAGGAAAUGUCUGGUUCAAGAUUUUACUUAAUAUACAGCUUCCAAUCCUCUCCAAGGCCAUUUGUUUAGUAUUUUAGGGAUCUUAGCUUUCCACCGUCUCCAUGUGGAACUUUUUUGGAACCCUUUCAAAUAUGAUUUUAGACUCUUUUUGAUAUCCACAGAAAAAUACAUUUAACCGAAACGAGAGUAUGGACAAAAAUAAUGGAAUUAAUGAGUAGUAAAUAAAUCUAUUAAAUAUAUACAAAAAAUGUAUAUAAAAUUAUUUCAUCAAGAUGUUUUCCAUUCUUGGAGAAUUAAGUAAAAUCAUCAAAUAGUGGGUGUUGUAAAAUUUCCUUUCAUCAAAUAGUGGCCUUUCAUUUUUCAGUUUAUAUUUUUAUUAUAUUUUUAAAAAUAAAUCAUUUGAAAUGUCGUGUAAGGAGUAACUCAAGCAUUUGAAAAUAAUGUAUAUUGGACUAUGUAGGUUGAUCAUCAAAUGUGUAUCAUAAGGUUUAAGCAGUUGCAUUUGUAUCUCAAUUGUUGAAAGUGUACAAUAAAGUUUAAAUCAUCAAAGAUGAUGAUGCAAGUAAUAUAAUUAAGUAUAGAUCAAUAAAAUUAAGGUAAAAAACAAUAAAAUCAAAGUGUAAAAUAAUGAGACAAAAUUCGGUAUAAAGAAAUGAAAUUAUAAUUCAAACGUGAUACAACUUGAUUAAUUGUGCUUUUUAAUACUUAUCAUCGAUUUAGUAUUAGAGAGGGGCCUACGAUGAUUAAAAGAGGAGGAUUGAAAGGCUCAGGUAUAUAUACAUGUCCAAAGCACCAGAAUGUGGUCCAUCUAAUGGCAAGAAAAAACUUUUUUCUCUGGUUUCUCCUUCUCAGUCUCAUUUGCACUUUGUUCUGUACCCACAGUACUACAGCAAUAUAGAUCCUGUGAAGGCUGUAGAUCCUGGUCUGGUAUAUGAUGUCGAUGAGAUUGACUAUGUAAAAUUUUUGUGUGGGCAAGGUUAUAGUACUCGGGCUCUAUGGCGUCACUGGGGGUAAUUGUGUCUGUUCUGCCGCUACAAAUGGAACCGUCUGGAAUCUAAAUUACCCUUCCUUUGCUCUUUCCAGCUUCACCAAGGAAUCUGUCACUGGAAUGCAUGGAACCAAAUUAAACCAAUAUUAUCUUUAUACUAGAAAAGCUGGAAUUGGGCUUUGUUGUAACUUCUGUUAUAUUUUUUAAAAUAUUUACGAAAGUACCAUUGCUUUCCUUUCAUAUAUAGGAUGGGAUAAUGGUAAUUAUCAAUUAAAUGCAGGUCGAAAGAUGUAGUAUGACAGCAACGUGUAUUGUUGCCAUUAUGCCACCUAUCAUGAUUUCAUAUAUAGGAAGGCAUCUUCCACAAUUUCAUUGAGCCUCUCUUUUUCCUUUACUUUGUUACUUUCAAAUUAGAACAAUUUACUUGAAUUCAGGCAAUAUGGAUAAAUCACCCGUGGGAGUGACCCAAAUUCUAAUUGCUACACCCGUCAACAUUGACGGAAAAAAUGGUGACGUAUUAUGGGAAUCGUAAUCAACUGUCGGUGGGCUGACGCAACCUUCCCACCCCCCUUUCCUCCAACACGUGAGUCACAUGCUUGAGACCUUCAAUGGCAAAACAAUUAUAUCAUGCACCUUUGGAUGAUAUAAAACAAUUAUAUAAAAGAAUUAUUUUAUAUCUAACACGUACCUUUGGAUGCUAAAGAAAUUUUAUGUCAGAUACAUGUUUUAGUGGUAUUCAAAGGCACAAAAAAGCACAAUUUAUGGGAAUAUAAAAUUUAUUUAAAUAAUUGGAGUGAGAAAAAAAAUGAAAAAUAUUUCUCUGCUAGAAAUUAGGAUUCAACAUUGUUAAAUAGGAUUUUCAGAUGGUAAUUUUACAAAAAAAAGUUGGUAAUAAUACCCUAAAAAUAAAUUGAAGGGCAUUAAUAAUGGGAUGAAAUUCUAAAGAUGAAGUCUAAUGUAAUGAUUGAUUAGGGGUCUCCAAAAAGCCCGCGGCCCGCGGCCCGCUUUAGGCCCGGCCCGGCCCGACGGGCUAAAGCCCGGCCCAAGCCCGCUAGGCCCAAGCCCGGCCCGAGCCCGUUUAUGGGCUGGUCGGGCCGCGGGCCUGGCCCGUAGGCCCGCCCUUAGGCCCGCCUUUAAUUUUUUUUUAAAAAAUAAUAUACUAUAUUUUUAUAUAUAUAUAACUAACUCAUUUUAUAAGUACAAAAGAAAUGUAGCUCAGUUGGUUAGAGCCUUGAAAUUUAAGCUUGAGGGGAGGGGUUCGAAUUCCCUCCUCUUCCUUCCUUUAUUUAAAAGCCAUUUUGGCUUAUUUAAAAAAGCCCGCGGCCCGGCUCGCUGGCCCGGCCCACCCAGCCCGCCCCCCAGCCCGCUAGCCCGCGGGCUCAUAGGCCGGGCCGCGGGCCUAGCAUUUUAGCUCGGCCCGGCCCGGCCCGGCCCGACCCGUUGACCAGUCAACAGGCCCAUAGGCCCGGCCCGAGCUGGGCCGCGGGCCUCUUAUUUACGGCCCGGCCCGCCCCGGCCCGCCCGUUGGAGACCCUUAUGAUUGAUGCUCCAACACACUCUCUCCCUCUGUAUAGUCUUUGAGCUUUAUUCAUAACUUUAACAAAAUUCUUUCUCAAAAGAAGUGACAAUAAUAAUAAAAAAGAUUGAAUUAUUGGAAGGGAUGUAAAGUAGAUGUUGAUGGGCAUAUCUUUUAAUGAAAAAAAGUCUUUGGUAUUAUGGGGGAUGACUGGUGAGUCUUUUGAUUUAUCCGUGCAUUGCUCUUUAUUCUUUUAUCUUUUUAAAUACAAAUUAUUGGAAAUGUCCUGGAAGGUGUAACAUUAGAUUAAAAGAGAAAAAGGAUUGGGAGGCUCAUGUGUAUAUAUGUAUAGAUGUCCAAGCACCACGAAGCGCAUAGCUUACCAUCAUCUAAUGGCAAAACAAAAAAACUCCUUUCUGUGGUUUCUCCUUCUCAGUCUCAUCUGCAGUCUGCUCAGCACCCACAGUACUGCAGCAGCUUCCGAGGAUGAUGUUCGAAAGGCAAGAAACACCCAUCUCUCUCUUGCUUUCUCUUAAUUAAUGGCUUGGUCAAUAUUCCAUGAACCAUACAUGCAUGCGUGGCGGAAAAAUUAAGAUUAAUCUUGCGCUGAAAAUCAUGCUUGGGUAGUGUUAAUAAACUGGAUUUGCAUCAAACAUGUUGUGGAUGCAGGAGUAUAUUGUGUACAUGGGUGCCAAGCCUGCCGGAGAUUUGUCGGCGUCUGCCAUUCACACCAACAUGCUGGAGCAAGUCUUUGGCAGGUCAGAAUUCACCUUUUGUUUUUUUGUUUUUGUUUUUUUAUUUAUUACAUAUAUGGUACCAUUUUCCCCAUGGAAUGCCUUUUCAGUGGUAGGGCAUCAAGUUCUCUAGUUCGCAGUUACAAAAGGAGUUUCAAUGGAUUUGUAGCGAAGCUAACAGAGGAGGAAAUGCAGCAAAUGAAAGGUGCGUAGGUGGGUUUAAAUCUUUCUUUAAUUGAAGUUUCUCAUGCGUGUAAUGGCUACAAAAUUAACUGUAACUUUGGAGUUUCAGGCAUGGACGGGGUGGUCUCGGUUUUCCCUAACGAAAAGAAACAGCUCCACACAACUAGGUCGUGGGAUUUCGUGGGGUUUCCCCGACAAGUUAAAAGAACAAGUUUUGAAAGCGACAUUAUCAUAGGAGUGCUUGACACUGGAAUAUGGCCAGAGUCUGACAGCUUCGAUGAUAAAGGAUUUGGCCCACCGCCAAGGAAAUGGAAGGGCACUUGCCACGGGUUUUCCAAUUUCACUUGCAACAAGUAAAUCUCACUCGCAACAGUGUCUAAAUACCCUGUUACAAAAGUUUAAAUACUAUCCUUAUUCCUUAACAAAACUUUCCACUGAUGUUAUUGCAGUAAAAUUAUUGGAGCCAAGUACUAUAAGAGCGAUGGAAAAUUUAGCCCAAAAGAUUUGCAUUCCCCAAGAGAUUCAGAAGGCCAUGGGACACACACUGCGUCAACUGCGGCAGGGGAUUUAGUCAGCAUGGCAAGUCUAAUGGGCUUUGGUUUAGGAACCGCACGGGGUGGGGUUCCAUCAGCUCGGAUAGCUGUGUAUAAGACGUGUUGGUCUGAUGGCUGUCAUGAUGCUGAUAUUCUUGCAGCAUUUGAUGAUGCAAUUGCUGAUGGGGUUGAUAUAAUAUCUAUUUCAGUUGGGGGUAAAACUCCCCAGAAAUAUUUUGAAGAUUCUGCUGCAAUCGGAGCUUUUCAUGCAAUGAAAAAUGGGAUACUAACAUCAACUUCUGCUGGUAACGAGGGACCUCUCCUUGUUUCCGUCACAAAUGUCUCGCCAUGGUCUCUUUCCGUGGCUGCUAGCACCACAUAUCGGAAGUUCUUGACCAAGGUGCAACUAGGUGACAGGAAGGUUUAUAAAGUAAGCUUGCUCACACUUUGGACUAAUAACCAUCACUUUCAAAUAUCAUUUAUUAAAGUAAUUGGAUUUCAACUACGUGGAGCUGAUUUUUGGAGGUGGAGGUUAUAUCAUUGCCUUUUGUGUAGGGAAUUUCGAUAAACACAUUUGAGCUCCAUGGCAUGUAUCCUUUGAUUUAUGGUGGGGAUGGCCCGAAUACUAGAGGAGGUUUUAGAGGGAACACAUCCAGGUACUUAUUAUUAUAGAAAGAAAAAUAAUUAAUUGAAAAUGAAAGCCGUAUGUUAGAAAUCCUGAAUUUUAAAGUGUGUGUGAUAGAUUACAGGACUUUCAUCACUGAAAUGCAGGUUUUGCCAAAUAAACUCACUGAACCCAAAUUUAGUGAAGGGUAAAAUUGUCCUUUGCAUUGGGCAUCGCGGUGGGUCUGAAGCAGCAUGGAGUGCAUUCUUGGCAGGUGCCGUUGGGACUGUGAUAGUGGAUGGACUCCAACUCCCCAGAGAUUUCAGCCGCAUUUAUCCCUUGCCUGCAUCUCGCCUUGGUGCAGGAGAUGGUAAAAGAAUUGCCUACUACAUCAGCUCAACAAGGUAUCAAUUUACACAGCUUCCUACUUUUAUUUGGAGAUGACUGUAAAUUAUUUAAGUGAUAUGCUUUAGGAUUUGUACGGCAUAUAUAUACUUAGUCUUACUACAUUUAAACAGUAACCCAACUGCAUCGAUAUUGAAGAGUAUUGAGGUUAGUGACACAUUGGCCCCAUAUGUACCCCCCUUCUCAUCAAGGGGUCCAAACCCAAUUACACACGACCUUCUCAAGGUAGCUUAUGCGAUUAUUCUUGAUUUUCUUCUCAUUUAUUCUAUUACAUUUUCAUUUCUAUAUCAUGUAAACCCAAUUCAACAUUUUCAUCACCCAUUUGAGAAAACAUAGGGUUUUUUUUCUUAAUCUAUGUUGAGAACGGUUACACAUAUCUCAGGCCAAAAGACCCCUUUUCCUUAGUUCAUAAAGACUUUCUAGAAGCUCGACAUUCAUGAUGACUUUGUGAUCUUACUGCAUGCAGCCAGAUUUAACAGCCCCAGGUGUACACAUUCUGGCUGCCUGGUCACCAAUUUCUCCCAUCUCUAAGGUACCUGGCGAUAAUCGAAUAGCGGAAUACAAUAUAGAAUCCGGCACGUCAAUGGCUUGCCCACAUGCUACUGGGGCAGCUGCCUACAUCAAGUCAUUUCACCCCACCUGGUCUCCUGCUGCUAUUAAGUCUGCUCUUAUGACUACUGGUAAUGACUGAAUUUUAUUCCUGGCCUUUCAAAUUAUGAAAGAGGUGAUAGUAAUGGAUCUUAGUCCUUUGUGUGUUUUGUAAGCAGCUACUCCCAUGAG
Molecule: long non-coding RNA, 8792 nt
Filed under: Vitis vinifera (wine grape)
Lineage: Eukaryota; Viridiplantae; Streptophyta; Magnoliopsida; Vitales; Vitaceae
Description: long non-coding RNA (VVIN_LNC004042)
Source: RNAcentral